Molecule: ribosomal RNA, 2565 nt
Filed under: Triticum aestivum (bread wheat)
Lineage: Eukaryota; Viridiplantae; Streptophyta; Magnoliopsida; Poales; Poaceae
Description: partial small subunit ribosomal RNA
Source: RNAcentral
AUGGCAGAGUCACUGCUUCUCCCUCUAGUGCGCGGCGUGGCUGGCAAGGCCGCAGACGCACUCGUCGAGACAGUGACCCGCAUGUGUGGCCUCGAUGAUGAUCGCCAAACGCUCGAGCGACGUCUACUAGCCGUCGAGAGCAAGCUGGCCAACGCUGAGGAGAUGAGCGAGACAAAUCCCUAUGUCAAGAGCUGGAUGAAGGAGCUCAAGUCCGUCGCCUACCAGGCCGACGACGUGCUCGAUGACUUCCAGUACGAGGCACUGCGCCGCCAGUCUAAGAUCGGCAAGUCCACUACCCGAAAGGUACUCAGCUACAUCAUGCGGCAACAUCCUUGGCGGCAGACGCACUCAAAACUGGACGAGACUACCCAGAUCUUUGGAAGAGAUGAUGAUAAGGAGGUGGUGGUGAAGUUACUGUUGGACCAGCAGGAUCAGCGGAGAGUGCAGGUGCUGCCCAUCAUUGGGAUGGGAGGUCUUGGCAAGACGACUCUUGCUAAGAUGGUCUAUAAUGACCAAGAGGUCCAGCAACAUUUCGAGUUGAAGAUGUGGCACUGUGUGUCCGAUAACUUUGAUUUCAUUGCUCUUUUGAAAUCCAUCAUUGAGUUGGUUGUAAGUGGAAGAUGUGACAUGCCUGACAUGAUUGAGUUGUUGCAAAAGAAACUUGAGCAAGUCAUUGGCCAAAAAAGGUUUAUGCUCGUGCUUGAUGAUGUGUGGAAUGAAGAUGAGAGGAAGUGGGAGGAUGUCCUGAAGCCUCUUUUGUGUUCUGUUGGUGGACCAGGAAGCGUAAUUAUUGUCACAACUCGAAGCCUGAAAGUGGCCUCUAUAAUGCAGACCCUUCGACCCCAUAAGCUAGCAUGUCUGAGUGAACAAGAUUCAUGGGAAUUGUUUGCACAGAAAGCAUAUAGCAAUGGAGCAGAGCAGGAGCAAGCAGAGUUGGUCAGCAUUGGCAGACGUAUUGUCAACAAAUGCAAGGGGGUGCCUCUUGCUCUCAAGACAAUGGGUGGAUUGCUAAGUUCAUAUCAACAAGUACAAGAAUGGAAGGCAAUCGAAGAAAAUGAUAUUGGGGAUAGUGUUAGAGGUAAAGAUGAGAUCAUGUCUAUAUUGAAGUUGAGCUACAAACACCUAUCAUCUGAAAUGAAGCAAUGUUUUACAUUUUUAGCAUUUUUCCCCAAGGACUAUGUGAUGAACAAGGAUAUGUUGAUCCAACUAUGGAUGGCAAAUGGUUUUAUUCAAGAGAAGAGACCAAUGGAAUUGACAUCAAGAGGAGAAUUCAUUUUCGAUGAGCUGGUUUGGAGGUCCUUCCUCCAAGAUAAACAGGAGCUCACAAUCAAUUAUGGCGCAACAAGUUAUGUGACUAUUAACUGUAAAAUGCAUGAUUUAAUGCAUGACCUAGCAAAAGAUGUCACAGAUGAAUGUGCAAGUAUAGAAGAACUAAAUCAGCAGAAAGCACUGUUAAAAGAUGUUUGUCACAUGCAAGUGUCAAAGGCUGAAUUGGAACAAAUCAGUGGGUUAUGCAAAGGCAGAACAAUCCUACGCACUUUGUUAGCUCCUUCAGGAUCACACAAGGACUUUAAAGUGUUGCUACAGGUAUCGACAUCACUAAGAGCACUACAUUGUCCCCCUUCUUCAAUUGUCAAUUGCAACAAGGCCAUAUAUGCAAAACAUCUACGGUAUCUCGACCUCUCUUGGUCUGAAAUCACUGAGUUGCCAGAAUCAAUAUGUGUGUUGUAUAACUUGCAAACAUUGCGGCUCAUUCAUUGCGAGGAGCUGCGGCAGUUACCAAAAGACAUGGCAAGACUGAGAAAGCUCAUCCAUCUUCAUCUUUCUGGUUGUGAUCGUCUUGAAAGAAUGUCUCCGAACUUUGGUCUACUAAACAGCCUUCACAUAUUAACAACAUUUGUUGUCGAUACUCGAGAAGGCCUUGGAAUAGAGCAGCUCAAAGACUUGCAAAACCUUAGCAAUAGGUUGGAACUACUGAAUUUGGACAAGAUAGAGAGUGGGGAGAAUGCAAAAGAAGCCAAUCUUGAUCAGAAGAAAAACUUAAGUGAGUUGUUGUUCUCUUGGGGCCAAGAAACAGAUGAUUUGCCUAAAGAUAUGGCAUGUAAUGUGGAAGAAGUGUUGCAGUGUUUAGAACCUCACAGUAAUAUCCAAAAUUUGGAGAUACUUGGAUAUGGUGGCUUAGAAAUAUCACAGUGGAUGAGAAAGCCUCAAAUGUUUAACUGCUUGAGAAAACUCAAAAUUUCUGACUGCCCAAGAUGCAAGAGUAUCCCUAUAGUAUGGCUCUCGGUCUCUCUAGAGACUUUGUGCUUACAGAGGAUGGAUAACCUGACCACAUUAUGUAAUAACCUUGAUGUGGAAGCUGGAGGAUGCAUGACCCCUCUGCCAAUUUUCCCUGGGUUGAAGAGGAUGGAGUUGAUUGAUUUACCAAGGCUGAAGAUGUGGGCAGCAAAUAGUGUGGGAGAAUCUGGUGAUAGCCUGGUAACGCUCUCGAUGGUUGAACAGCUAACGAUCAAAAAUUGCCCCAAGCUUGUAAGUAUUCCAGUGAUCCCGUUGUCAGCGACUUGA